GGGUAGUUUGACUGGGGCGGUCUCCUCCCAAAGAGUAACGGAGGAGCACGAAGGUGGGCUAAUCACGGUUGGACAUCGUGAGGUUAGUGCAAUGGCAUAAGCCCGCUUAACUGCGAGAAUGACGGUUCGAGCAGGUGCGAAAGCAGGUCAUAGUGAUCCGGUGGUUCUGUAUGGAAGGGCCAUCGCUCAACGGAUAAAAGGUACUCCGGGGAUAACAGGCUGAUACCGCCCAAGAGUUCAUAUCGACGGCGGUGUUUGGCACCUCGAUGUCGGCUCAUCACAUCCUGGGGCUGAAGUCGGUCCCAAGGGUAUGGCUGUUCGCCAUUUAAAGUGGUACGCGAGCUGGGUUUAGAACGUCGUGAGACAGUUCGGUCCCUAUCUGCCGUGGGCGUUGGAAGAUUGAAGGGGGCUGCUCCUAGUACGAGAGGACCGGAGUGGACGAACCUCUGGUGUUCGGGUUGUGUCGCCAGACGCAUUGCCCGGUAGCUAAGUUCGGAAUUGAUAAGCGCUGAAAGCAUCUAAGCGCGAAGCGAGCCCUGAGAUGAGUCUUCCCUGAUACUUUAAGUAUCCUAAAGGGUUGUUCGAGACUAGAACGUUGAUAGGCAGGGUGUGUAAGCGUUGUGAGGCGUUGAGCUAACCUGUACUAAUUGCCCGUGAGGCUUAACCAUACAACACCCAAGGGGUUUUGUA
This 690-nucleotide ribosomal RNA is filed under the name Vibrio cholerae. RNAcentral describes it as "partial 23S ribosomal RNA". It matches the Rfam family "Bacterial large subunit ribosomal RNA", at positions 2263 to 2925 of the family's 2925-position model. Lineage: Bacteria; Pseudomonadati; Pseudomonadota; Gammaproteobacteria; Vibrionales; Vibrionaceae. The record is from RNAcentral.